UCUCCGUUGGUGAACCAGCGGAGGGAUCAUUACCGAGUUUCCAACUCCCAAACCCCUAGGUUAACGAUACCCCACUGUUGCCGCGGCGGGAAAUUCAUGCCCCGGGAGCGUCGCAGCCCCGGACCCACGCGCCAGCCGGAGGACCAACCAGAACGCUUUUGUAUGUGCCUCGCGGAAUUUUAUAAUUCUGAACCAUCACGGCGGUACUAGCGGGCGCUUCGAAAAUGAAUCAAAACUUUCAACAACGGAUCUCUUGGUUCUG
RNAcentral lists this unclassified non-coding RNA (262 nucleotides) under plant metagenome. RNAcentral's name for it is "partial contains small subunit ribosomal RNA, internal transcribed spacer 1, and 5.8S ribosomal RNA". The record is from RNAcentral.